Molecule: ribosomal RNA, 201 nt
Filed under: Ceratorhiza hydrophila
Lineage: Eukaryota; Fungi; Basidiomycota; Agaricomycetes; Cantharellales; Ceratobasidiaceae
Description: partial small subunit ribosomal RNA
Rfam family: Eukaryotic small subunit ribosomal RNA
Source: RNAcentral
AGACCUUAACCUGCUAAAUAGUCCGGCCGGCUUUUGCUGGUCGCAGACUUCUUAGAGGGACUGUCAGCGUCUAGCUGACGGAAGUUUGAGGCAAUAACAGGUCUGUGAUGCCCUUAGAUGUUCUGGGCCGCACGCGCGCUACACUGACAGAGCCAGCGAGUUCUCACCUUGGCCGGAAGGUCUGGGUAAUCUUGUGAAACU